RNAcentral lists this transfer RNA (76 nucleotides) under uncultured Blautia sp. RNAcentral's name for it is "tRNA-Arg(tct)". It matches the Rfam family "tRNA". Rfam says of the family: Transfer RNA (tRNA) molecules are approximately 80 nucleotides in length. The record is from RNAcentral. Lineage: Bacteria; Bacillati; Bacillota; Clostridia; Lachnospirales; Lachnospiraceae.
UGUGUCAGUAGCUCAGUUGGAUAGAGCAACGGCCUUCUAAGCCGUGGGUCGGGGGUUCGAAUCCCUUCUGACACGU